Molecule: ribosomal RNA, 345 nt
Filed under: uncultured bacterium
Lineage: Bacteria
Description: partial 16S ribosomal RNA
Rfam family: Bacterial small subunit ribosomal RNA
Source: RNAcentral
CCUACGGGGGGCAGCAGUGAGGAAUAUUGGUCAAUGGACGAGAGUCUGAACCAGCCAAGUAGCGUGAAGGAUGACUGCCCUAUGGGUUGUAAACUUCUUUUAUAGGGGAAUAAAAUGUUCCACGUGUGGGAUGUUGUAUGUACCAUAUGAAUAAGGAUCGGCUAACUCCGUGCCAGCAGCCGCGGUAAUACGGAGGAUCCGAGCGUUCUCCGGAUUGAUUGGGUUUAAAGGGAGCGUAGGUGGGUUGUUAAGUCAGUUGGGAACUUUUGCGGCUCAACCGGAAAAUUGCAGUUGAAACUGGCAGUCUUGAGUACAGUAGUGGUGGGCGGAUUUCGUGGUGUCGCG